CUAACCCGCCGCCCUUAUCGGGCGGGGAGACAGUGUCAGGUGGGCAGUUUGACUGGGGCGGUCGCCUCCUAAAAGGUAACGGAGGCGCCCAAAGGUUCCCUCAGAAUGGUUGGAAAUCAUGCGCAGAGUGUAAAGGCACAAGGGAGCUUGACUGCGAGACCUACAAGUCGAGCAGGGACGAAAGUCGGGCUUAGUGAUCCGGUGGUUCCGCAUGGAAGGGCCAUCGCUCAACGGAUAAAAGCUACCCCGGGGAUAACAGGCUUAUCUCCCCCAAGAGUCCACAUCGACGGGGAGGUUUGGCACCUCGAUGUCG
RNAcentral lists this ribosomal RNA (313 nucleotides) under Bacillus siamensis. RNAcentral's name for it is "bacterial LSU rRNA". It matches the Rfam family "Bacterial large subunit ribosomal RNA", at positions 2222 to 2534 of the family's 2925-position model. The record is from RNAcentral. Lineage: Bacteria; Bacillati; Bacillota; Bacilli; Caryophanales; Bacillaceae.